UGGGGAAUAUUGCACAAUGGGCGCAAGCCUGAUGCAGCCAUGCCGCGUGUAUGAAGAAGGCCUUCGGGUUGUAAAGUACUUUCAGCGGGGAGGAAGGCGAUAAGGUUAAUAACCUUGUCGAUUGACGUUACCCGCAGAAGAAGCACCGGCUAACUCCGUGCCAGCGGCCGCGGUAAUACGGAGGGUGCAAGCGUUAAUCGGAAUUACUGGGCGUAAAGCGCACGCAGGUGGUCUGUCAAGUCUGAUGUGAAAUCCCCGGGCGCAACCUGGGAACUGCAUUCGAAACUGGCAGGCUAGAGUCUUGUAGAGGGGGGUAGAAUUCCAGGUGUAGCGGUGAAAUGCGUAGAGAUCUGGAGGAAUACCGGUGGCGAAGGCGGCCCCCUGGACAAAGACUGACGCUCAGGUGCGAAAGCGUGGGGAGCAAACA
RNAcentral lists this ribosomal RNA (427 nucleotides) under uncultured bacterium. Its description in RNAcentral is "partial 16S ribosomal RNA". It matches the Rfam family "Bacterial small subunit ribosomal RNA", at positions 355 to 774 of the family's 1533-position model. The record is from RNAcentral.